CAAAAAGAGACACACAAAAAAAUCAUAACAAGGGGAGCAAUGGAGCACAAGCCGGGCCCAAUCUUUCUUCUUAUUCCAUAAGGGAACACCGGGUUUGUCCAUUGCUGAUCCCUGAGUCCCUUUUGCCUUCAUCACUCUCAAUAAUCUAGGGAUCUCUUUGGUGUGGCAAAUUCUAACCGCUAAGAAUCACGCAGAAUGGAGCAGAGCCGUGAUGAUCGCGCUAUCCGCCGAGAACAGGUUAGGGUUCAUCGAUGGCCAUAUUUUCAAGCUUGAAGGUAUGGGCUCAAACCUAACAGAUUAGAUUCUUGGGUUAGAAAUAACAACAUUUUGAUUUCUUGGAUGAUCGCCUCGAGCUUGCUGUUUUCGAACGCUGCUUGCGAAAUAUGUUCAGAUCUCAAUGAUUGAUUACAGCAAAACAAUUGCCGAUAAUACUCCAAAUAUUGGGCGAAUCGAUCGACAAUAGGCAGAUAAACACACGGUGAAAUGGUAUUUGCAAUCAAGAACGAGAACCCCACCCCCUCUUGAAAUUCUAAUUUCAGAAACAAUCGAUCCAAGAAGGGACGGGGCCGCCCUAUUGCACUCCUUGCAAACUUCAUGGAUACCUACCAGGUUACAAAUCAAGACAGAACCCUCAAUCCAAAAAUCCUAAUGCCAGUAUGCCACUAUCAACCUGGUUUUCGCCUGCGAAUACAAUGACGAGAAGGGCGAAACAAAACUUCUUUCAGUCUGAAGGAAUCUCAAUAUAAUCAAACUUUAGAAAUAUUGUCUAAGCAUCUGCACUCCAUCGCUAGAGGUACAACCAGUCUUUAUCGUUCGCAGAUUUUAGUGGAAAAGAGAAGAGCGAAGCAUUGCGGCGUAGCUAAGGGGGCCAUGGCGCUCCAAACCCAGGUGUUGCAGUGUUGUCAUACAGACACGAGACAGAGAUUUGAACGUUGUGGCGCUCCAACUUGGUGCCGCAACACAGACAGAGUAGUUGUCAUUCUCUUUUUUUCAUUAAGGGUUACGUCCCUUGGUGGUUGUUAUGAAUCUCUUGGUUUGUUCUUGUGCAAGAAUGGUGCUAGAGAAUAGAGAUAUGUACUAUUUAUCUCAAUUUUCAUAGUAGAUUUUUUGGUGUGGUGUGGCUCCAUGGUCUUUUCCUGGUUUCAAAUUUUAUCACAUUAAAUUUUGGUUUUCUUUUC
Dendrobium catenatum is the source of this 1178-nucleotide long non-coding RNA. RefSeq lists it as uncharacterized. Lineage: Eukaryota; Viridiplantae; Streptophyta; Magnoliopsida; Asparagales; Orchidaceae. The transcript is spliced from 2 exons. The record is from RefSeq and is a predicted model, not a curated record.